This 78-nucleotide ribosomal RNA is filed under the name Bacillus paralicheniformis. RNAcentral describes it as "partial 16S ribosomal RNA". It matches the Rfam family "Bacterial small subunit ribosomal RNA", at positions 1 to 77 of the family's 1533-position model. The record is from RNAcentral. Lineage: Bacteria; Bacillati; Bacillota; Bacilli; Caryophanales; Bacillaceae.
UUUCAUGGAGAGUUUGAUCCUGGCUCAGGACGAACGCUGGCGGCGUGCCUAAUACAUGCAAGUCGAGCGGACAGAUGG